GAUGAACGCUGGCGGCGUGCUUAACACAUGCAAGUCGAACGGAAAGGCUCCUGCUUGCAGGGGUACUCGAGUGGCGAACGGGUGAGUAACACGUGGGUGAUCUGCCCUGCACUUCGGGAUAAGCCUGGGAAACUGGGUCUAAUACCGGAUAGGACCACAUUUUGGAUGGUGUGGUGGAAAGUUUUUCGGUGUGGGAUGAGCUCGCGGCCUAUCAGCUUGGUGGUGGGGUAAGGGCCUACCAAGGCGUCGACGGGUAGCCGGCCUGGGAGGGUGUACGGCCACAUUGGGACUGAGCUACGACCCAGACUCCUCCGGGAGGCAGCAGUGGGGAAUAUUGCACAAUGGACGCAAGCCUGAUGCAGCGACGCCGCGUGGGGGAUGACGGCCUUCGGGUUGUAACCUCCUUUCGCUAGGGACGAAGCGCAAGUGACGGUACCUGGAGAAGAAGCACCGGCUAACUACGUG
This 465-nucleotide ribosomal RNA is filed under the name uncultured bacterium. RNAcentral describes it as "partial 16S ribosomal RNA". It matches the Rfam family "Bacterial small subunit ribosomal RNA", at positions 28 to 507 of the family's 1533-position model. The record is from RNAcentral.